UACGUAGGGUGCAAGCGUUAAUCGGAAUUACUGGGCGUAAAGCGUGCGCAGGCGGUUCCGCAAGUCAGAUGUGAAAUCCCCGGGCUCAACCUGGGAACUGCAUUUGAAACUACGGAGCUAGAGUGUGUCAGAGGGGGGGUGGAAUUCCACGUGUAGCAGUGAAAUGCGUAGAGAUGUGGAGGAACACCAAUGGCGAAGGCAGCCCCCUGGGAUGACACUGACGCUCAGGCACGAAAGCGUGGGGAGCAAACAGG
This 254-nucleotide ribosomal RNA is filed under the name uncultured bacterium. Its description in RNAcentral is "partial 16S ribosomal RNA". It matches the Rfam family "Bacterial small subunit ribosomal RNA", at positions 524 to 776 of the family's 1533-position model. The record is from RNAcentral.